Molecule: long non-coding RNA, 2074 nt
Organism: Gallus gallus (chicken)
Lineage: Eukaryota; Metazoa; Chordata; Aves; Galliformes; Phasianidae
Source: Ensembl
CCAGUCCUUUUGGUGCUGUUCAGAGAGCAACAAGUUAAUGGCCUUGAGUUGAGCCAGGCCUCCUACAGACAGAUACCAUCUGAGCCUCAUGUAUUAAUGUCAGCUCCCAUUCUCUCUGAAGCUGCACUCCUGCAACUCCAGGCCUUGCCUCCCACACUGCUCUGCCCAGGUACCUCAGUCCUGACUUGCAGCAGCUUCUGCCAUUCCCACUUGGAGCCUGCUGAGCAGGCUGGGUUGCACAAUGUAUUUCUAGCGUGUGCAAAGACUUCUUGAGUUUACUUUCACUGCAUUUCACUGUUCUUUUAAUCUUCUAAGCAGUAUGACAUUAAUUUUAAAGCAAUUCUGAACACAUCUGCUCAAGUUUUGUUCCCAGUGCUCCAGCCUUGUGGUCUAUAGCUGAUGGGCAUUGCCAACGUAGCUUGUUGAACCUCCCAGGCAGAAGAGAUGAUUUCAUUGCUCUUUGGAGGCACUGCCCCUGUGAUUCUGGAGCCAGACAUUGUUGCACUUCAGAAAAUCUGGUCCUGGCUCUUGCCAGAGGAUGGGAUUGUGGCAUCGCGCCCAUGACUUGGGCUGAGCCUGAAAAAAAACCUCCAGAAGGGCUUUCAAUCCAGCUGUGAUGCUGAGGGUUCCAGCAAAUAGCAAGGAACGCUUUGCCUCCCCAGGAAACAGAUUUUUGUUUAAGAAAAGCCCACCCUGUCUCUGCUGAGUCCGAAUCUGGGUUAUUAAGUCCUAUGGGAAAGAAUGCUGUCACAAAGAGCCCAGCUGAACUGUGUCUUAUCAUCAAUAAAUCCGUUUUUAUCCAUUGCUGUGCCAGGGCACCCAGGCAGAAGGGAAAGACCGCAUGGGGACGGACGGUGCACCUCUGCUCUGAGCGGUGCUGUGCUGGAAUACAGGAGAAAAACCUCCAGGAUCUCUGACUUAGGGGCUCUGAUGGGGAGAAGUCCAAUCGCUGACCUCCCGCAGAGGCUGUCUGAUAAGCUUGUCUGUCCCUCAUACCUACCCAGGCGCUUUGCUGACAGCACACGAUGCUCUUAGAGGAAUUCUCCAGAACUUCUGCCCGCGGCCAUAAAUGCGGUUACCUGUUGAUCCCUUUCCCCUCCGCAGCACAGAAAGGCGAGCUGCCUCGUCCUAUGGGAGCUGGUUUGGUGCCUUGGAAAGGAGCUGUGGCUGCAGGUGUUGCGUGGAAGACGAUUUAGGGAGGACAGCAUUAGGGUUUGCAGCAGAGAUGGGGCUCUGUGAUGCAUACCCCAACCCUCUUGGGAAGGCACAAGAGGAUGGAUGGUGUAACCUCAGCUCAUCGCUGAAGUAACCACCCACAGCUCCGACUGUGUUGGAGAAAACAUUGGUGUUUGGAAUACGUUCUCCAGGUGUCCAGGAGCCUUCAGCCUCCCGGGGUCCCCACCAAAGUGACCCCCACCUCCUCCAGAACACACAGAUGGGGCACAGAGCAGCGGAUUCAGCAGUGCAGCAUCUGGUUUCUGUUCGGUGCUCUGAGAUCACGAACCGCCCCAUCCAAAGCUCAUCCCGUAGGUGCAGCCAUGGGUGCUGGGAUCCCUUCCUGGGUCCGACAGCCCCCGGAGCAUCUCCUCCCUCCACCCCAAAUCAAACGGAACCAAUGGAAUGCAUACAUCCUUUCCAACCAUGCUAACCGCAAUGGUACUAAUUAGCACUCCGCUAAAUGGCCGUGAUUAGUUUAGCAGCUGAUGGAAUAUUUAAUCUAGAAUGUCUCUCUAUUUUGGGGGGGGGGGAAGAAAAAAGCAAACCGAAAAAGCGGGUCGUUUAUUUAUUUCUCUAACAAAUUCCUGCUGCUGGCCAUGCUGAAAACGUGAAUCACGCAGCGGGAGCUGAGACUGGAGUGGCUCUUCUACCGAAGGGAAAAAAAAAAAAAAAGAAAAAGAAAAAGAAAAGCAGAUUAAAGUGCAGGAAACGCAGCUUGUGAGAUGAGGCAGGCGCCUCGCAAAGCCAUUUGCAACACAAAGUUAACGAAUAACGCCGGGCUCGGAGCACGAUAAAUGAACGAGCGCAAAAUAGCAGAGCUUCCCCCUCCAUCGUGCUGAUGGAGCGGUGGUUCCCC